Quercus lobata is the source of this 269-nucleotide long non-coding RNA. RefSeq lists it as uncharacterized. The record is from RefSeq and is a predicted model, not a curated record. NCBI's taxonomy places the organism in Eukaryota, Viridiplantae, Streptophyta, Magnoliopsida, Fagales, Fagaceae. The transcript has 2 exons.
AUGUGCUGAUGCUUCUCUUGUCCAGGUUUCACAAUUUGGAAAAAAAUGAAGAUUUUUUCAGCUAAGGUUGAAGAGGGAAGGGAAGGCCUAGAUGAGAAGCCAGCAGUUGGUCCCGUGUAUUGUAAUUUACUCUCCAAGAAUGAGUUUCCUCCACCAGAUCCCAAUAUUAGUACAGCUUGGGAUGUUUUCAGGGCCAGGUGCUAUCAAUUUUAUUCUCGAUCAUGCAGAGGUUGAUUUUGUUUUUGUCCAGGAUAAAAAAGUGAAAGAAG